RNAcentral lists this ribosomal RNA (512 nucleotides) under uncultured bacterium. Its description in RNAcentral is "bacterial SSU rRNA". It matches the Rfam family "Bacterial small subunit ribosomal RNA", at positions 999 to 1521 of the family's 1533-position model. The record is from RNAcentral.
GGUGGAAACACCUUUUCUAGCAAUAGCCGUUUGCGAGGUGCUGCAUGGUUGUCGUCAGCUCGUGCCGUGAGGUGUCGGCUUAAGUGCCAUAACGAGCGCAACCCUUGCCACUAGUUACUAACAGGUGAUGCUGAGGACUCUGGUGGGACUGCCAGCGUAAGCUGCGAGGAAGGCGGGGAUGACGUCAAAUCAGCACGGCCCUUACAUCCGGGGCGACACACGUGUUACAAUGGCGUGGACAAAGGGAAGCCACCUGGCGACAGGGAGCGAAUCCCCAAACCACGUCUCAGUUCGGAUCGGAGUCUGCAACCCGACUCCGUGAAGCUGGAUUCGCUAGUAAUCGCGCAUCAGCCAUGGCGCGGUGAAUACGUUCCCGGGCCUUGUACACACCGCCCGUCAAGCCAUGGGAGCCGGGGGUACCUGAAGUCCGUAACCGCGAGGAUCGGCCUAGGGUAAAACUGGUGACUGGGGCUAAGUCGUAACAAGGUAGCCGUACCGGAAGGUGCGGCUGG